RNAcentral lists this ribosomal RNA (120 nucleotides) under Procavia capensis (Cape rock hyrax). Lineage: Eukaryota; Metazoa; Chordata; Mammalia; Hyracoidea; Procaviidae. The record is from RNAcentral.
GACUAUGCCCAUACCAUGUUGAAUGUGACCAAUCUUGUCUGAUCUUAGAAGCUAAGCAGGGUCAGAGACCUGUUAGUAAUUGGAUGGGAGACAGCCUGAGAAUACCACAUGCUGUAGGCU